This 303-nucleotide ribosomal RNA is filed under the name Triticum aestivum (bread wheat). Its description in RNAcentral is "partial small subunit ribosomal RNA". Lineage: Eukaryota; Viridiplantae; Streptophyta; Magnoliopsida; Poales; Poaceae. The record is from RNAcentral.
AUGGCCACGCCCGCCCUCGCCUCCCUUGGCCACACCAUCACCGAGAAGUUGAACCGGGAGAACUUCCUUGUCUGGAGGGCUCAGGUGCUGCCGCACAUCAGGGCGGCCGGCAUGAUGGGCUUCCUGGACGGCUCUUUCAAGGAGCCUGCCGCUGAGAUCCAAACGGAGACGGAGGUCUCCGGCAAGAAGAUGAUCACCACCAACCCCAACCCGCAGCAUGCCGUAUGGGUGACCCAGGAUCAGCAGGUUCUUUCGUUUUUGAUCGCAACCCUCUCUCGCGAAGUCCUUCUGCAGGUCAGUAAU